RNAcentral lists this ribosomal RNA (433 nucleotides) under uncultured bacterium. Its description in RNAcentral is "partial 16S ribosomal RNA". It matches the Rfam family "Bacterial small subunit ribosomal RNA", at positions 29 to 507 of the family's 1533-position model. The record is from RNAcentral.
AACGAACGCUGGCGGCAUGCCUAACACAUGCAAGUCGAACGAGACCUUCGGGUCUAGUGGCGCACGGGUGCAUAACGCGUGGGAAUCUGCCCUUCGGUUGGGAAUAACUGAGAGAAAUUUCAGCUAAUACCUUAUAAUGUCUUCGGACCAAAGAUUUAUCGCCGAGGGAUGAGCCCGCGUAGGAUUAGGUAGUUGGUGGGGUAAUGGCCUACCAAGCCGACGAUCCUUAGCUGGUCUGAGAGGAUGAUCAGCCACACUGGGACUGAGACACGGCCCAGACUCCUACGGGAGGCAGCAGUGGGGAAUAUUGGACAAUGGGCGAAAGCCUGAUCCAGCAAUGCCGCGUGAGUGAUGAAGGCCUUAGGGUUGUAAAGCUCUUUUACCCGGGAUGAUAAUGACAGUACCGGGAGAAUAAGCUCCGGCUAACUCCGUG